RNAcentral lists this ribosomal RNA (226 nucleotides) under Clostridioides difficile. RNAcentral describes it as "partial 23S ribosomal RNA". It matches the Rfam family "Bacterial large subunit ribosomal RNA", at positions 432 to 659 of the family's 2925-position model. Lineage: Bacteria; Bacillati; Bacillota; Clostridia; Peptostreptococcales; Peptostreptococcaceae. The record is from RNAcentral.
CCCUGUGGGAAGCAGGAGGGACCACCCUCCAAGGCUAAAUACUACCUAGUGACCGAUAGCGUAUAGUACCGUGAGGGAAAGGUGAAAAGAACCCCGGGCGGGGAGUGAAAUAGAACCUGAAACCCUGUACUUACAAGCUGUGGAAGCACAUUUCUUGUGUGACCGCGUACUUUUUGUAGAACGGGCCAACGAGUUACGUUAAGUAGCAAGGUUAAGCACUUAAGGU